RNAcentral lists this ribosomal RNA (253 nucleotides) under uncultured bacterium. Its description in RNAcentral is "partial 16S ribosomal RNA". It matches the Rfam family "Bacterial small subunit ribosomal RNA", at positions 1239 to 1500 of the family's 1533-position model. The record is from RNAcentral.
CGAGAAGGCAGCUACACAGCGAUGUGAUGCUAAUCCCAAAAGCCUCUCUCAGUUCGGAUUGGAGUCUGCAACCCGACUCCAUGAAGCUGGAUUCGCUAGUAAUCGCGCAUCAGCCACGGCGCGGUGAAUACGUUCCCGGGCCUUGUACACACCGCCCGUCAAGCCAUGAAAGCCGGGGGUACCUGAAGUCCGUAACCGUAAGGAGCGGCCUAGGGUAAAACUGGUAAUUGGGGCUAAGUCGUAACAAGGUAGC